This is a small RNA of 91 nucleotides. It matches the Rfam family "Rhizobiales sRNA Atu_C9". The record is from Rfam.
CGCAUAUGAAGGAGACAGACCAAUGGGACUUACGCGAUCUUUGAAUGUCCUCAUGAUCUGUGCGGCAUUUGCAUUUGUUGCAGCGUUGAUA